GUAGUCCACGCCGUAAACGAUGGGCACUAGGUGUGGCGGGUGUCGACUCCCGCCGUGCCGCAGCUAACGCAUUAAGUGCCCCGCCUGGGGAGUACGGCCGCAAGGCUAAAACUCAAAGGAAUUGACGGGGACCCGCACAAGCAGCGGAGCAUGUGGUUUAAUUCGACGAAACGCGAAGAAUCUUACCUGGGUUUGACAUGUUCCUGACCGCCGUGGAAACACGGUUUCCCUUACGGGCAGGAUCACAGGUGGUGCAUGGCUGUCGUCAGCUCGUGUCGUGAGAUGUUGGGUUAAGUCCCGCAACGAGCGCAACCCCCGUCGCAUGUUGCCAGCAUUCAGUUGGGGACUCAUGCGAGACUGCCGGUGACAAACCGGA
RNAcentral lists this ribosomal RNA (376 nucleotides) under uncultured bacterium. Its description in RNAcentral is "bacterial SSU rRNA". It matches the Rfam family "Bacterial small subunit ribosomal RNA", at positions 790 to 1167 of the family's 1533-position model. The record is from RNAcentral.